UUCCUUAACGGGGGGGGGGACAGUAGGGAAUCUUCCACAAUGGGCGCAAGCCUGAUGGAGCAACACCGCGUGAGUGAAGAAGGGUUUCGGCUCGUAAAGCUCUGUUGUUAAAGAAGAACACGUAUGAGAGUAACUGUUCAUACGUUGACGGUAUUUAACCAGAAAGUCACGGCUAACUACGUGCCAGCAGCCGCGGUAAUACGUAGGUGGCAAGCGUUAUCCGGAUUUAUUGGGCGUAAAGAGAGUGCAGGCGGUUUUCUAAGUCUGAUGUGAAAGCCUUCGGCUUAACCGGAGAAGUGCAUCGGAAACUGGAUAACUUGAGUGCAGAAGAGGGUAGUGGAACUCCAUGUGUAGCGGUGGAAUGCGUAGAUAUAUGGAAGAACACCAGUGGCGAAGGCGGCUACCUGGUCUGCAACUGACGCUGAGACUCGAAAGCAUGGGUAGCGAACAGGAUUAGAUACCCUGGUAGUCCAUGCCGUAAACGAUGAGUGCUAGGUGUUGGAGGGUUUCCGCCCUUCAGUGCCGGAGCUAACGCAUUAAGCACUCCGCCUGGAGACACCA
RNAcentral lists this ribosomal RNA (561 nucleotides) under Limosilactobacillus fermentum. RNAcentral describes it as "bacterial SSU rRNA". It matches the Rfam family "Bacterial small subunit ribosomal RNA", at positions 334 to 884 of the family's 1533-position model. The record is from RNAcentral. Lineage: Bacteria; Bacillati; Bacillota; Bacilli; Lactobacillales; Lactobacillaceae.